AAUGGAGUGCCUGAAAAAGGACAAUUUUGAUAGAAUUGGUCAUGUGGACCCCCCCCCACCUCCAUUU
This 67-nucleotide transfer RNA is filed under the name Cerambycidae sp. 6 KM-2017. RNAcentral's name for it is "tRNA-Ile". The record is from RNAcentral. Lineage: Eukaryota; Metazoa; Arthropoda; Insecta; Coleoptera; Cerambycidae.